RNAcentral lists this ribosomal RNA (446 nucleotides) under uncultured bacterium. Its description in RNAcentral is "bacterial SSU rRNA". It matches the Rfam family "Bacterial small subunit ribosomal RNA", at positions 29 to 521 of the family's 1533-position model. The record is from RNAcentral.
AACGAACGCUGGCGGCAUGCCUAACACAUGCAAGUCGAACGAGACCUUCGGGUCUAGUGGCGCACGGGUGCGUAACGCGUGGGAACCUGCCUUUAGGUUCGGAAUAACUCAGAGAAAUUUGAGCUAAUACCGGAUAAUGUCUUCGGACCAAAGAUUUAUCGCCUUUAGAUGGGCCCGCGUUGGAUUAGCUAGUUGGUGGGUAAAGGCCUACCAAGGCGACGAUCCAUAGCUGGUCUGAGAGGAUGAUCAGCCACACUGGGACUGAGACACGGCCCAGACUCCUACGGGAGGCAGCAGUGGGGAAUAUUGGACAAUGGGCGAAAGCCUGAUCCAGCAAUGCCGCGUGAGUGAUGAAGGCCUUAGGGUUGUAAAGCUCUUUUACCCGAGAUGAUAAUGACAGUAUCGGGAGAAUAAGCUCCGGCUAACUCCGUGCCAGCAGCCGCGGU